UCACUGACAUGAAUAGAGUAGUAAGUAUUAAGAUUUUACAUCAAGGAAUUGGAAGAAAAAUAAGUGAACCUAUCAAAUAAGAGUCUUUUAAUUCUAAAAUUUUAAUAAAUAUGAAAAUAAGAAAAAUAGUUUACAAUGAAAGAGCCAUGUUCCUAUGAAAAUGAUUUAAAAAAUCUAUCUAUAUAUCAGUUUUAUCAUAUAAAUUUAAACUUACAUAAAAUUGAAACUUAUCUGGAAGGAAGCAAAUAACAGUGUUAAAACAACAUGAUUAUGAAAAAAGAUCAUUAUUGAUUUUUAUGUUUUGAAGUCCACUUAAAAUUUAGUUAGUCUUCUUCAUUUAUUAUUUGCAUCUAGUCUUCAAAAUGAUAAUUUCCUGCAAAAUAGGGACAAUGUAAAAUUGUUUUUGCACCUCAAAGUAAAUACUUUAGUUUGUGUUUCAUAAAGGAAAUAAAACCACCAGGAAAAUCAAUGAGAAUUAUUCUCGAUAAAUAUCUUAUUUAAGGACUACCUCAUUCAAAACACCUUGCCAUAAUAAUACUUAACAUUUACUGAGAGUCUACUGUGGGCCAAGAAUUUUACAUAUAUCAUUUCAGUUUAAGCCUCACACUGACUCAAUAAGGUCAAUAUAUAUUUUAACAGAUGUUUAGAACAGUUGGCACACUUUGACACAGUUUCAGAGGAGUCAAGGAAUUUGACAAAGUUCAAAUAUUUGGAGAAGCAGAGAUUUGAGCCCAAUUUGGUUUAAUUCUCAAGUUUAUGUUCUUCUUAACAUACUGUAUCAUGGCCUGCCACAGUUGGGUGCCUUCCAAAGUGAGUAAGAUAUAGAACAUACCUUAUAGGGCCCACAUUACACAUACUCUGAAUUACUGGGCACCCUUUAAAAGAAGUAUGAUAUUUUUCUUCUGUCAAUACUUAUUACCAAAAUAGCAAUACAUAUUUUACCUACAGUAAGCAAAUAAGACUUCACAAUCAUCUUCUUUUGUCUAUUUCUUUGCAUAUUUAAAGUUAUUUUUGUUUCCUUCCAUUUUCUACUGGUACAAGAUUGUAAACUAAAUUUAAUUGUUUAAUUGCCAGAAAUUUCAAAUUAAAACAAUCUUUUCUGAGCAACAUUGAAGAAAUUAGUAUAAAGGGAUAGCUGAAAUUUUGCUUAAUGAAACAAAGUUUCCCUUUUAAAUUAAAGAUCAGUUCAGAAAUAUAUACAAAUAAACACUAACAGUUGCAUUGUGUAAAAUGGGUGUUCUUCUUGUUUUUUCCUGGCUGUUAACCUCUGAUUAAGUGAGCAAGGCAAUGCUUCAGGGACCAUUGAUCAACAUGGUGUUUUUCAUGAAUGGAUGGAGCAGAGCUUCCUUCCUUUUGGACGCAUUUGUGUUAUCAAUUUCCAUUUUCAGUUACUAAAAUCUAUGACUCUCAUAUUAAGCAUUUCUGCAUGAGAAAGAGAUGGUUGCUUACAACCUCAUUCACUUGUAAGAAAACAUAUUCAAGCUUUGGUUUCCUGACAAAACCUCAAAAAAAAAAAAAAACCCCUCAAAUAUAUGUAUGAAUUCCUCCACGGCUCAACUCAAUGACAUACCAGCCGUUUU
Molecule: long non-coding RNA, 1580 nt
Organism: Equus caballus (horse)
Lineage: Eukaryota; Metazoa; Chordata; Mammalia; Perissodactyla; Equidae
Source: Ensembl